Molecule: ribosomal RNA, 1259 nt
Filed under: Staphylococcus aureus
Lineage: Bacteria; Bacillati; Bacillota; Bacilli; Caryophanales; Staphylococcaceae
Description: partial 23S ribosomal RNA
Rfam family: Bacterial large subunit ribosomal RNA
Source: RNAcentral
CACACUGCCGAGAAAAGCCUCUAGAUAGAAAAUAGGUGCCCGUACCGCAAACCGACACAGGUAGUCAAGAUGAGAAUUCUAAGGUGAGCGAGCGAACUCUCGUUAAGGAACUCGGCAAAAUGACCCCGUAACUUCGGGAGAAGGGGUGCUCUUUAGGGUUAACGCCCAGAAGAGCCGCAGUGAAUAGGCCCAAGCGACUGUUUAUCAAAAACACAGGUCUCUGCUAAACCGUAAGGUGAUGUAUAGGGGCUGACGCCUGCCCGGUGCUGGAAGGUUAAGAGGAGUGGUUAGCUUCUGCGAAGCUACGAAUCGAAGCCCCAGUAAACGGCGGCCGUAACUAUAACGGUCCUAAGGUAGCGAAAUUCCUUGUCGGGUAAGUUCCGACCCGCACGAAAGGCGUAACGAUUUGGGCACUGUCUCAACGAGAGACUCGGUGAAAUCAUAGUACCUGUGAAGAUGCAGGUUACCCGCGACAGGACGGAAAGACCCCGUGGAGCUUUACUGUAGCCUGAUAUUGAAAUUCGGCACAGCUUGUACAGGAUAGGUAGGAGCCUUUGAAACGUGAGCGCUAGCUUACGUGGAGGCGCUGGUGGGAUACUACCCUAGCUGUGUUGGCUUUCUAACCCGCACCACUUAUCGUGGUGGGAGACAGUGUCAGGCGGGCAGUUUGACUGGGGCGGUCGCCUCCUAAAAGGUAACGGAGGCGCUCAAAGGUUCCCUCAGAAUGGUUGGAAAUCAUUCAUAGAGUGUAAAGGCAUAAGGGAGCUUGACUGCGAGACCUACAAGUCGAGCAGGGUCGAAAGACGGACUUAGUGAUCCGGUGGUUCCGCAUGGAAGGGCCAUCGCUCAACGGAUAAAAGCUACCCCGGGGAUAACAGGCUUAUCUCCCCCAAGAGUUCACAUCGACGGGGAGGUUUGGCACCUCGAUGUCGGCUCAUCGCAUCCUGGGGCUGUAGUCGGUCCCAAGGGUUGGGCUGUUCGCCCAUUAAAGCGGUACGCGAGCUGGGUUCAGAACGUCGUGAGACAGUUCGGUCCCUAUCCGUCGUGGGCGUAGGAAAUUUGAGAGGAGCUGUCCUUAGUACGAGAGGACCGGGAUGGACAUACCUCUGGUGUACCAGUUGUCGUGCCAACGGCAUAGCUGGGUAGCUAUGUGUGGACGGGAUAAGUGCUGAAAGCAUCUAAGCAUGAAGCCCCCCUCAAGAUGAGAUUUCCCAACUUCGGUUAUAAGAUCCCUCAAAGAUGAUGAGGUUAAUAGGUUC